RNAcentral lists this unclassified non-coding RNA (245 nucleotides) under Hevea brasiliensis (rubber tree). Lineage: Eukaryota; Viridiplantae; Streptophyta; Magnoliopsida; Malpighiales; Euphorbiaceae. The record is from RNAcentral.
GAAAAAUAUUCAAUAAGUUUGAAUCUCCUGGAUUGUGACAGCAGAGAUAGAUAAGCAGAAUCAUAGUCUCAUUAAAGAAAUACAAAUUAAGCCAAAACAGGGUUAACACAUACUUAAUUAAGGAUCACAUAUGACAAACGCACGAACAAUAAUCUUAUUCUGAAGCUCACAAAGCCCUAGUGAAGAGGAUAACGUAUGAUUUGCUUGUCCUCAUAUAUAUUGACUAACAAUGCUUAGUGCAGAAG